GUGCCCGUAGCUCAGCGGUAGAGCAUCUGACUUUUAAUCAGAGGGUCGCGGGUUCGAUCCCCGCCGGGCACGCCA
Molecule: transfer RNA, 75 nt
Filed under: Rhodospirillaceae bacterium
Lineage: Bacteria; Pseudomonadati; Pseudomonadota; Alphaproteobacteria; Rhodospirillales; Rhodospirillaceae
Also listed under: 2 other names
Description: tRNA-Lys
Rfam family: tRNA
About the family: Transfer RNA (tRNA) molecules are approximately 80 nucleotides in length. Their secondary structure includes four short double-helical elements and three loops (D, anti-codon, and T loops).
Source: RNAcentral